AUGUGCAUAGCUAAAUCCAAAGGCGGACUUGGUUUUAGAGAUUUUGAGACUUUUAAUGAUGCAAUGCUUGCUAAACAAGCAUGGAGACUCCUUGAAAAUCCUGAUAGUUUGUGUGCUAGAGUGCUCAAGGGUAGAUACUACCCAAAUGGGGAUUUUUUGACGGUUGGAUGUCUGGCGGGUGCAUCAAAAACAUGGCAAGCAAUUAUUGAGGGAAGGGAGAUGCUCAAAAGUGGACUUAUUUGGCGUGUGGGAGACGGGACGACGACGGAAGUGUGGCAUGAUCAGUGGAUACAAGGCACCUGUUCGAUGAAACCCAUGGGCGCACGGUCUGCUAUCUCUGUUCAGUUGGUCUCUGACUUAAUUGACCCCGUGUCAAAUCAGUGGAAUUCAAACCUCAUCGAAGUUGUGUUCUACCCUCCAGAUGUAGACGCAAUUCCGCAUAUGCCAAGACCACAGCGAGCAGGGCCUGAUAUUUGGGCCUGGGCCUGGGAGAAAUCGGGACUAUUCUCUGUUCGCUCCGCCUAUAGAGAAACCAUGGAGAGGAGGGUAAGAGAAUCAGUGCAAGUGGAAAGCUCUAAUGGGGAAGGCGAAACAUGGUGA
This 600-nucleotide ribosomal RNA is filed under the name Triticum aestivum (bread wheat). RNAcentral describes it as "partial small subunit ribosomal RNA". The record is from RNAcentral. Lineage: Eukaryota; Viridiplantae; Streptophyta; Magnoliopsida; Poales; Poaceae.